AUUGAACGCUGGCGGCAUGCCUUACACAUGCAAGUCGAACGGUAACAGGUCUUCGGAUGCUGACGAGUGGCGAACGGGUGAGUAAUACAUCGGAACGUGCCCAAUCGUGGGGGAUAACGCAGCGAAAGCUGUGCUGAUACCGCAUAAGAUCUACGGAUGAAAGCGGGGGAUCGCAAGACCUCGCGCGAGUGGAGCGGCCGAUGGCAGAUUAGGUAGUUGGUGAGGUAAAGGCUCACCAAGCCUGCGAUCUGUAGCUGGUCUGAGAGGACGACCAGCCACACUGGAACUGAGACACGGCCCAGACUCCUACGGGAGGCAGCAGUGGGGAAUAUUGGACAAUGGGCGAAAGACCUGAUCCAGCAAUGCCGCGUGAGUGAUGAAGGCCUUAGGG
This 391-nucleotide ribosomal RNA is filed under the name uncultured bacterium. Its description in RNAcentral is "bacterial SSU rRNA". It matches the Rfam family "Bacterial small subunit ribosomal RNA", at positions 29 to 422 of the family's 1533-position model. The record is from RNAcentral.